Molecule: ribosomal RNA, 446 nt
Filed under: uncultured bacterium
Lineage: Bacteria
Description: bacterial SSU rRNA
Rfam family: Bacterial small subunit ribosomal RNA
Source: RNAcentral
UUCCAGACUCCUACGGGAGGCAGCAGUGGGGAAUAUUGCACAAUGGGGGAAACCCUGAUGCAGCGACGCCGCGUGAGCGAUGAAGUAUUUCGGUAUGUAAAGCUCUAUCAGCAGGGAAGAAGAUGACGGUACCUGACUAAGAAGCCCCGGCUAACUACGUGCCAGCAGCCGCGGUAAUACGUAGGGGGCAAGCGUUAUCCGGAUUUACUGGGUGUAAAGGGAGCGUAGACGGCGAUGCAAGCCAGAUGUGAAAGCCCGGGGCUCAACCCCGGGACUGUAUUUGGAACUGUGUGGCUGGAGUGUCGGAGAGGCAGGCGGAAUUCCUAGUGUAGCGGUGAAAUGCGUAGAUAUUAGGAGGAACACCAGUGGCGAAGGCGGCCUGCUGGACGAUGACUGACGUUGAGGCUCGAAAGCGUGGGGAGCAAACAGGAUUAGAUACCCCUGUA